Molecule: long non-coding RNA, 754 nt
Organism: Phascolarctos cinereus (koala)
Lineage: Eukaryota; Metazoa; Chordata; Mammalia; Diprotodontia; Phascolarctidae
Source: Ensembl
ACUUUAGAGGAUGUGUACAUACGUAUACACACAUGCACACACGGAACCACAAAUCCACGGUUGACUAAUCUGAUAUGACAAAGCCUGUGAUGGAUUUGGCUCAUGUUAAUUCACACAAUGCCCUUUCCUCCAGAAUUUAACUCUAAGUUAAUACACACCGGAAACCGCGAGCAUACACGCUCGUUAAUGGGUUUAGGUAUUAGAGACUUCUAACGAUGCAUACAAAUGUGCUUUGCUCUCCAUAGGCCCCUUAAGAUUUAUGGGCCUUGGGCUUCUCUGAAUCUGUAAACAAGGAGAAAAAAAGAGGGAGAGAGACAGGGAGAGAGAGAGAGACAGAGGCCUCACUCGUCCCUCCAGGUUGUGAAAGAGAGAAUAGAUCUGCAAAUUCGGUUCUUAUCUAUUUUUCUUUACUUAGAUAUGUGGUUAGGCCUGCUUUCACAUCUCUCCGUGGCUGUGUAUUGGUGUUGGGGCCUGUGGUCAUGGUGUGUGCAGAAGCCGAGCCUACUUCAUUAAAGAAGAAAAGAUCAUUUCUCCCCGGAUAAUCCCAACAUACCCCUCGUAUUCUUCAGGUACAAUUCUCCUAGAAUCCUUUUUUUCCCCCCGGCUGGGGAGGGGAGGGGGCUGGAGGCAACCGGAGAGAUUUGGUUAUCAGAACAGAAUUGUGGUAUGAGGAUACCCUAAUAUUUCGAGCACACCGAACACCUCUUUAAAAUACACUUACAUACACACAAAAAUAAAUAAAAAAUAAAUAACA